CCUACGGGCGACAGCAGUGGGGGAUAUUGGACAAUGGGGGGAACCCUGAUCCAGCGACGCCGCGUGAGUGAAGAAGUAUUUCGGUAUGUAAAGCUCUGUCAGCAGGGAAGAAAGAAAUGACGGUACCUGACCAAGAAGCCCCGGCUAACUACGUGCCAGCAGCCGCGGUAAGACGUAGGGGGCAAGCGUUAUCCGGAAUUACUGGGUGUAAAGGGGGCGUAGACGGUUAAGUAAGUCUGGAGUGAAAGGCCGGGGCCCAACCCCGGGACUGCUCUGGAAACUAUUGAACUUGAGUGCAGGAGAGGUAAGCGGAAUUCCUAGUGUAGCGGUGAAAUGCGUAGAUAUUAGGAGGAACACCAGUGGCGAAGGCGGCUUACUGGACUGUAACUGACGUUGAGGCUCGAAAGCGUGGGGAGCAAACAGGAUUAGAUACCCGGGUAGUC
RNAcentral lists this ribosomal RNA (443 nucleotides) under uncultured bacterium. RNAcentral describes it as "partial 16S ribosomal RNA". It matches the Rfam family "Bacterial small subunit ribosomal RNA", at positions 338 to 795 of the family's 1533-position model. The record is from RNAcentral.